Molecule: ribosomal RNA, 303 nt
Filed under: uncultured bacterium
Lineage: Bacteria
Description: partial 16S ribosomal RNA
Rfam family: Bacterial small subunit ribosomal RNA
Source: RNAcentral
AGCAGUAGCCACGGUAAUACGUAGGGUGCAAGCGUUAAUCGGAAUUACUGGGCGUAAAGCGUGCGCAGGCGGUUAUAUAAGACAGAUGUGAAAUCCCCGGGCUCAACCUGGGAACUGCAUUUGUGACUGUAUAGCUAGAGUACGGCAGAGGGGGAUGGAAUUCCGCGUGUAGCAGUGAAAUGCGUAGAUAUGCGGAGGAACACCGAUGGCGAAGGCAAUCCCCUGGGCCUGUACUGACGCUCAUGCACGAAAGCGUGGGGAGCAAACAGGAUUAGAUACCCCCGUAGUCCCUGUCUCUUAUAC